Molecule: ribosomal RNA, 253 nt
Filed under: uncultured bacterium
Lineage: Bacteria
Description: partial 16S ribosomal RNA
Rfam family: Bacterial small subunit ribosomal RNA
Source: RNAcentral
UACGUAGGGUGCAAGCGUUGUCCGGAAUUAUUGGGCGUAAAGAGCUCGUAGGUGGUCUGUUGCGUCGGCUGUGAAAUCCCGAGGCUCAACCUCGGGCCUGCAGCCGAUACGGGCAGACUAGAGUUCGGCAGGGGAGACUGGAAUUCCUGGUGUAGCGGUGAAAUGCGCAGAUAUCAGGAGGAACACCGGUGGCGAAGGCGGGUCUCUGGGCCGAUACUGACGCUGAGGAGCGAAAGCGUGGGGAGCGAACAGG